This 858-nucleotide ribosomal RNA is filed under the name uncultured bacterium. RNAcentral describes it as "SSU rRNA". It matches the Rfam family "Bacterial small subunit ribosomal RNA", at positions 524 to 1381 of the family's 1533-position model. The record is from RNAcentral.
UACGAAGGGAGCUAGCGUAAAUCGGAAUUACUGGGCUUAAAGAGUGCGCAGGUGGUUAAAAAAGAUGAAGGUGAAAUCCCAAGGCUCAACCUUGGAACGGCCUUCUUAACUUUUUAGCUAGAGUGUGAUAGAGGAAAGCGGAAUUUCUAGUGUAGAGGUGAAAUGCGUAGAUAUGAGAAAGAACACCAAAAGCGAAGGCAGCUUCCCUGGACCAUUACUGACACUGAUGAACGAAAGCAUGGGUAGCGAACAGGAUUAGAUACCCUCGUAGUCCAUGCCCUAAACGAUGUGUGCUAGAUGUUGGAAACUUAGUUUUCAUAGACGCAACGAAAGCAUUAAGCACACCGGCUGGGGAGAACCACCGCGAGGAUAAAACUCUAAUGAAUUGACGGGGCGCCGCACAAGUAGAGGAGCAUGUGGUGUAAUUCGAAGAUACGCGCAGAGCCUUACCAUCACUUGCCAUGUUAGUUGCGAGAUCAAGAGAUGGGUUUGUUCAUUCAGCAGGACGAAACGCAGGCAGUGCAUGCCUGUCGUCAGUUAGCGUCGUGAGAUGGAGGGUUAAGUAACUCACCGAGCGCACGCCCUCCCUUUCGUUACCACCAUUUAGUUGGCCACUUUAAAGGACCUCCCAGUGCUAAGCGGGAGGAAGGUGGGGAGGACGCCAAGUCUUCAUGGCCCUUACGUUAUGGGCUCCCCACUCAUUCCAAUGUGCAUUUCCAAUGGGAAGGUAAGCCCGGAGUGCAAGCUAUUCCCAAAAAGAGAUCUCAGUUCGGAUUGCACUCUGUAACUCGAGUGCAUGAAGUUGGAAUUACUAGUAAUCGCGGAUCAGCACGUCGCGGUGAAUACGUUCCCGGGUCU